AUGUUCGUGAAGCCGGAGACGAAGACGCCCAGUGGGCUGACGGCGUGGCCGGCCCUGACCAGCGUUUACAAGAGCGAGAUUUUCAAGCCCGCCUUAGAGCGCCACUACACGAGCCCGAGGGCGGCCGUGCUCUGCGCGGACGCGUUCCAGAGCAUGUACGCGCAGAUGGUGUGCGGCCUGUGCCAGCGCCACGACGUGCUCCGCAUCGGCGCCGUGUUCGCCGCCAGCCUCCUGCGCGCCAUCCGCUUCCUCCACCUCAACUGGGAGCAGCUCGCCGCUGACAUCGAGGCCGGCGCGCUCAGUCCGCGCGUCACCGACACGUUGGUGCGCGAGGCCGUCGCGGGCGUCGUCCGCGGGUCGGACCCCGAGCUCGCCCGGCUCAUUCGGCAAGAGUGCUGCAAGGGUGACUUGGCUGGCAUCGUCACGCGGAUCUGGCCGAACACGAGGUACCUCGACGUCGUCGUCACCGGUGCCAUGGCUCAGUACGUCCCGGCCCUAGAACACUACGGCGGCGGCCUGCCCAUGGUGUCCACCUCGUACGCGUCCUCGGAGUGCUACUUCGGCAUCAACCUCCGCCCGCUGUGCGACCCGUCUGAGGUGUCCUACACCAUCAUGCCCAACGUGGCCUACUUCGAGUUCCUCCCCGUGAACAAGACCACCGGCGAGGAGGACGCGAGCCAGCUCGUGGACCUCGCCUGCGUGGAGGCCGGGCGGGAGUACGAGGUGGUGGUCACCACCUAUACCGGGCUGAACUGGUACCGCGUGGGCGACGUGCUCCGCGUGUCCGGCUUCCACAACGCCGCGCCGCAGUUCCAGUUCGUGCGCCGCCAAGACGCCGUGCUCUCCAUCGAGACGGACAAAACAGACGAGGCCGAGCUGCCGAAAAUAUAA
Molecule: ribosomal RNA, 891 nt
Filed under: Triticum aestivum (bread wheat)
Lineage: Eukaryota; Viridiplantae; Streptophyta; Magnoliopsida; Poales; Poaceae
Description: partial small subunit ribosomal RNA
Source: RNAcentral